Molecule: long non-coding RNA, 1148 nt
Filed under: Carassius auratus (goldfish)
Lineage: Eukaryota; Metazoa; Chordata; Actinopteri; Cypriniformes; Cyprinidae
Description: lncRNA (ENSCARG00000020206.1)
Source: RNAcentral
AUGGAGAAGUCUAGAUUUUCAGGCAAUAGUUUACCAUGUGGCUUAAAUUCCAGCCCUGCCAUGCAAACAAGAGAAAGAGGAGGAGACCAUGUUUCAGACAGCAAGUCCCAAGCCACCACAAACCUUAAAGAGACAGCGUGUCUCGAGGAGGAAAGGAAGAAAGAAAAUAAAGGCAUAAAACAUGAAGCAGGCUGUGCUAAACAAACCCGGAAGUGUCCAUUUGAGGCCUAUUUAGUAAAGUGCACACAAUUAGAGAAGGAAAACCUAGAGGUUAAAAAGAAGCUUAAAAAGAUGGAGAAAUAUUCCAGAGAAUGCAAAUCAGAGCGGCAGAGAUUUGUGGAGAGGUUUAAAGAGUUUAAAAACAUCAACAAAGACCUGGACACAACGAACAAACAACUUCUCAUUAAAAACCAGCAAAUGAGGCAAAGAAUUACAGAGGUCUUAAAGCAGAACGGACUUCAGUCUGAAGAUCUGGAGACCGUCUCGUGCAGUGAACACCGGGAGAAGCAGCAACUAAGAGAAACACUCGUUGUUCUCCAAGACCAGGGAAAGAACUUAACCGAACCAGUCAGGGAAUCUCAAAGAAUGAAACGGGAUUCAGAAAUAGUCGAAGCGAGGAAGAUAACGCAGCUUCAACAGGAAAACCAGACUCUAAGAGAGAGACUGGACCACAGCAGUCAGGUCAUAAAAGAUGCUGAAAGUAGAGCAGAGAGAGUUGAGGAGCAGCUGGAUGAAGCAGAAUGUUGCCUGCUCACUGUAGAGACUGAGAGGAAUCUACUGCGUCAGGAAGUAAAGAGACUCCAUCAGGAAUAUAUCAGCCUUACUAACAGCAUCUCACUGCAGCUGAAAGGAAACAACAAAGCUGCCGCUCUCGGGAAACCCCACCACAGCACAGCACAGUCCACCACCUCAGCAUCCUAUAACAGGAGACAUAACGUGGCAGAUAAAGGUUCAAUUUGAAGACAUACAACCAAGGAGAAAUAGAAAAUACCUUGGACAAAUAUCUGGGAAUGUUACUGAGACAGCUAUUAUGCACACACACACAAACACACACACACACACACACACACACACAUAUAUAUAUAUAUAUAUAUAUAUAUAUAUAUAUAUAUAUAUAUAUAUAUAUAUAUAUAUAUAUAUAUAUAUAU